RNAcentral lists this ribosomal RNA (478 nucleotides) under uncultured bacterium. RNAcentral describes it as "partial 16S ribosomal RNA". It matches the Rfam family "Bacterial small subunit ribosomal RNA", at positions 28 to 523 of the family's 1533-position model. The record is from RNAcentral.
GAUGAACGCUGGCGGCGUGCUUAACACAUGCAAGUCGAACGGUAAGGCCCUUCGGGGUACACGAGUGGCGAACGGGUGAGUAACACGUGGGUGAUCUGCCCUGCACUUCGGGAUAAGCCUGGGAAACUGGGUCUAAUACCGGAUAGGACCACUGCCUGCAUGGGUGGGGGUGGAAAGCUUUUGCGGUGUGGGAUGGGCCCGCGGCCUAUCAGCUUGUUGGUGGGGUGAUGGCCUACCAAGGCGACGACGGGUAGCCGGCCUGAGAGGGAGACCGGCCACACUGGAACUGAGAGACGGCCCAGACUCCUACGGGAGGCAGCAGUGGGGAAUAUUGCACAAUGGGCGCAAGCCUGAUGCAGCGACGCCGCGUGAGGGAUGACGGCCUUCGGGUUGUAAACCUCUUUCGGCACCGACGAAGAGCAAGUGACGGUAGGUGCAGAAGAAGGACCGGCCAACUACGUGCCAGCAGCCGCAGUAA